GAUGAACGCUGGCGGCGUGCCUAAUACAUGCAAGUCGAGCGAAAAGACGAGGAGCUUGCUCUUCUGACGCUAGUGGCGGACGGGUGAGUAACACGUGGAUAACCUACCUAUCAGAGUGGGAUAACAUCGGGAAACCGGAGCUAAUACCGGAUAAUAUUUCGAACCGCAUGGUUCAAUAGUGAAAGACGGCUCAGCUGUCACCUAUAGGUGGAUCCGCGCCGCAUUAGCUAGUUGGUAAGGUAACGGCUUACCAAGGCCACGAUGCGUAGCCGACCUGAGAGGGUGAUCGGCCACACUGGAACUGAGACACGGUCCAGACUCCUACGGGAGGCAGCAGUAGGGAAUCUUCCGCAAUGGGCGAAAGCCUGACGGAGCAACGCCGCGUGAGUGAUGAAGGUCUUCGGAUCGUAAAACUCUGUUAUUAGGGAAGAACAAAUGUGAAAGUAACUGUUCACGUCUUGACGGUACCUAAUCAGAAAGCCACGGCUAACUACGUG
This 497-nucleotide ribosomal RNA is filed under the name uncultured bacterium. RNAcentral's name for it is "partial 16S ribosomal RNA". It matches the Rfam family "Bacterial small subunit ribosomal RNA", at positions 28 to 507 of the family's 1533-position model. The record is from RNAcentral.